UCUAAGUCAGAGUCUUCUAAAAAGCCUGAACAGCUGAGGAAGCUCUUCAUUGGAGUGUUGACCUUUGAAACAACUGAUGAGAGCCUGAGGAGCCAUUUUGAGCAAUGGGGAACGCUCACGAACUGCAUGGGUAAUGAGAGAUCCAAACACCAAGCGCUCCAGGGGCUUUGGGUUUGUGACAUAUGCCACUGUGGAGGAGGUGGAUGCAGCCAUGAAUGCAAGGCCAUGCAAGGUGGAUGGAAGAACUGUGGAACCAAAGAGAGACAUCUCAAGAGAAGAUUCUCGAAGACCAGGUGCUCACUUAACUGUGAAAAAGAUAUUUGUUGGUGGCGUUAAAGAAGACACUGAAGAACAUCACCUAAAAGAUUAUUUUGAACAGUAAGGGAAAAUUGAAGUGAUUGAAAUCAUGACUGACUGAGGCAGUGGCAAAAAAAAGGGCUUUGCCUUUGUAACCUUUGACAACCAUGACUCCGUGGAUAAGACUGUCAUUCAGAAAUACUGUACUGUGAGUGGCCACAACUGUGAAGCUAGGAAAGCUCUGUGAAAGCAAGAGAUGGCUCGUGCUUCAACCAGCCAAAGAGGUCGAAGUGGUUCUGGAAACUUUGGUGGUGGUCGUGGAGGUGGUUUUGAUGGGAAUGACAACUUUGGUGGUGGAGGAAACUUCAGUGGUCGUGGUGGCUUUGGUGGCAGCCAUGGUGGUGGUGGAUAUGGUGGCAGGGGGGAUGGCUAUAAUGGAUGUGGUAAUGAUGGAAGCAGUUUUGGAGGUGGUGGAAGCUACAAUGAUUUUGUCAAUUACAACAAUCAGUCUUCACAUUUUGGGCCCAUGAAGGGAGGAAACUUUGGAGGCAGAAGCUCUGGUCCCUAUGGUGGCGGAGGCCAAUACUUUACCAAACCAUGAAACCAAGGUGGCUAUGGCAGUUCCAGUAGCAGCAGUAGCUAUAGCAGUGGCAGAAGAUUUUAA
Molecule: long non-coding RNA, 961 nt
Filed under: Homo sapiens (human)
Lineage: Eukaryota; Metazoa; Chordata; Mammalia; Primates; Hominidae
Description: non-protein coding lnc-CCR8-2:1
Source: RNAcentral